UACGUAGGGGGCAAGCGUUGUCCGGAAUCAUUGGGCGUAAAGAGCGUGUAGGCGGUCCGGUAAGUCUGCUGUGAAAGUCGGGGGCUCAACCCUCGAAUGCCGGUGGAUACUGUCGGGCUAGAGUGCGGAAGAGGCGAGUGGAAUUCCUGGUGUAGCGGUGAAAUGCGCAGAUAUCAGGAGGAACACCUAUUGCGAAGGCAGCUCGCUGGGACGUAACUGACGCUGAGACGCGAAAGCGUGGGGAGCAAACAGG
This 253-nucleotide ribosomal RNA is filed under the name uncultured bacterium. RNAcentral describes it as "partial 16S ribosomal RNA". It matches the Rfam family "Bacterial small subunit ribosomal RNA", at positions 524 to 776 of the family's 1533-position model. The record is from RNAcentral.